ACCACCAGUGGUGCAGUUGUUAGCACUUUUGUUUUGCAGCAGAAAGAUCCUGGGAUUAAAUCCCAGCCGGGGCU
Crenichthys baileyi (White River springfish) is the source of this 74-nucleotide non-coding RNA. Lineage: Eukaryota; Metazoa; Chordata; Actinopteri; Cyprinodontiformes; Goodeidae. The record is from the annotation of a GenBank genome assembly.